RNAcentral lists this small nuclear RNA (152 nucleotides) under Catagonus wagneri (Chacoan peccary). RNAcentral's name for it is "U2 spliceosomal RNA (ENSCWAG00000020984.1)". It matches the Rfam family "U2 spliceosomal RNA". From Rfam's summary of the family: U2 is a small nuclear RNA (snRNA) component of the spliceosome (involved in pre-mRNA splicing). Complementary binding between U2 snRNA (in an area lying towards the 5' end but 3' to hairpin I) and the branchpoint sequence (BPS) of the intron results the bulging out of an unpaired adenosine, on the BPS, which initiates a nucleophilic attack at the intronic 5' splice site, thus starting the first of two transesterification reactions that mediate splicing. The record is from Rfam by way of RNAcentral. Lineage: Eukaryota; Metazoa; Chordata; Mammalia; Artiodactyla; Tayassuidae.
AUUGCUCCUCAGCCUUUUGGCUAAGAUCAAGUGUAAAAAAAGGAGCAGAUUUUUUUUUUUUUUUUUUUGUAUAUUAGAGUGGCAAACUUGUAGUGAUUUGUAGCCUCCAGGGCUGGUAAGCAUUUGCAAAAUCAGCAUUCAAGUCAUCUCUA